GACUUGCUUUCCGCUCUGCUCGGAGCUGGUCCGUCCUGGUCGGUCGUCCGUCAUCAUCUUCACUCCGCUGAUUCGAAGCUCGUAGAAAUCGGAGACGCCGGCGAUUUGGUGAUGAACACUUGAAGGGAAGGAGCUUCGAUCGGAGAUGGCGGCCAAUCAUCGCAACGAGGCGAGCGGCGGCUGCGUCGGCGGAAGGGGGGAGUCGGUGGUCGUGGAGGGCGGCGUGGAGUGCGGCCGGCCGGGGAGCUUCUUCGAGUACUGCAGAUCGCCAAAUGGGUCCGCCGUUUCUCACGGUCCGUACGGUUUCUCCUUCGUUUCUCGUGGUUUUCUCCCUCCCGUGUCGUUGAGUGCGGUUUUUGCCCGGGCUCCGGUGGCUCGGGGAUUUUGGGGUCGGCCGGGACUGGAGAUGCCGUGCUUCGGGGUUUGUCUUUUCCGGGCUUUGUCGUCUGUUGUGACGUUCACGAUUGGAAUUGCUGAUUUGCGUUUAGUCUUUAGUAGUUCCAAUCCGCCGCUUCGUUGCGUGCGUCGGCUUGCACUGACGAUUUUUUCUGUUUCGGGUUGUUUGUUUUUUAACGUCUCUUCGACUUGGAUCGCGGAGCCUGACUGUGGAUGACUAUCAAGGUUGAUGUGCAAUUCCCUAUUUUGAGAGUCUGGGCAGCUCUGGCCUGUUGAUUCGCUGUCACUAAUCGGCUCUCGACUGAUGUAGUUUCAUUAUGUGCAUAUAUCUGAUUGAAAGAACUAGAGAAAUUUCGAACGUUUGAUCCGUAUUGAGGGAAACUUAUGGGUACUCAUUCUAUCAACUGUUAAUACAUGGACUUAUUUUUUCAUAUGUGCGUAUUUAACUGCACGACCUCAGAGGAACCAUGUGGAAGCUAUGGUCGAUGCUGAAGUUCCGACUUGAGCCGUUUCUGCGCCUGUGUCUUCCCUUUUCCUUUUAUUCUUCUUUCGAAUGUACCGGUUGGAUUUCUCUGCUAGUUUUCAGCUACUUUGAUCAAGUCUCUUUUCUGAAGGGUUUAUGAUCAGUUCUGAUGCAAAUGACUUUGCAGGAUGGGCCACUAGUUUGUCUGCUUAUGAAAGCGUUGUGGAUUCAAAUAUUCCUUUCUUUAAUGUUGUUAUUGAGAUGACUGAUGUUGGUCACGAAACUUGGUCGUGUAAGAAAGCCCAGAUUAUGAGGCUUGAAAUUCUAAUCAUGUAUAAUUGCACCAAAAAGCAGAGCACACGCAAGAUAUCAUGGGAUUGCUCUUUAAAUAUAUUGACAUCUUGCACCAGUCUGGCGUUUGCGAGUGGAUUUAUGACGAGGUAGAACCGGCAGAUGUAUCCAUUAGGGCUUCAAUGGAAGGGAAGUCAUCUAAAUUUUGGUCCUUGCAGCUCUAUCUUUGAUUGUGACUUUCGUAAAAUGGUAAUGCAUUAUAAUGUAAGCUUACGAGUUCAAGAAGCUUGUUGAGGGUACUUUUCUUACUAGAAUAGUUGCUUUUAGUUUGUCAAAUGAGAAAGCACUACCUCAUUUGUGUUAAAAGAGAAUAACGCAUCUAUUGAAUAACGCAUCUGUUGAAGUACCUCACAUCGCAUGUCUACUGGGUUUAUAUGGGCCUUAUAUUCAUGUGGUCUCCUUACACUUACCAGCUUAAACUUUUGGGUUGGACAUUUUAACAGCAUCAAGGUUGGUUUUUGACAGGCCUGUUAAAAGAAAGAGAUCGUAAUUCUCUAAUCUUUGUCAUUGAUUUGUUGAGCAGUAACUAAACACACUUGCAGACACUACUAUGUGUACAUGUUUCCAUGUCUAAUAUAUUUUGAAAUGGGUAAAAUGGUAUUUUAAAUCUGUCUUUUGCACCAAAAGAAGAAAGGAAUGAGUAAAUUCUUGCAUUUUGUACGUGACUAGAAAAUUAGGCAUAACAUUUCCAAAUUGCAAUGUACAUUAAAUCUGUCGAAUUGAUCAUAAAUGGCAGUGGCAUGGAAUGAGUGAAUGUGAUUCAAGUUUGAAUUGGAAUUAAAGGAUUCUGAAACCACCCUGUAUGAGCACCUCAUCUUGUGUGAGUAAAUAUGAAUGUCAGAGGUUCUGUGUGGAUCCUAAUUUAAUCUUUUGGUGAAGAUUGCAGCUGUAAGGGAGACGAUUGUUGCACAAUCAGGAUAAGAUCUCUCCAAUGAGUUAUGUGGUCUCCAUAGCAUCAAAUAUGAAGGUCCAUUUGGCGGGCUUUUUGAACUAAUUCACCAUCUUGACAUUCAUAACAUUGGAUCAGGUCAUGUAUCCAGUGAUUGAACUUUCACACUUCUUGAGAUGUUGCCGUUUAUCUUACAUUGGCUUGAUAACAGGGUCUGCUAUUGACAUGAUGACCAGCACCAUAACUGUUGGUAGUCAAACCAACUGUUGCUCAUAAUGCUGAGGAGGAUUUAAUGCUGUAAAGAAUGAAAUUCGGGUUCGUCAAACCAGAAGGUGGCAAGCAAUUGGCAUCCUAAGGCAUGUUUUGUUCAGCUACUGUACCUUGGAGAUUAAAGAAACAUGCCAUUGACUUCUUGCUUUGCACCACAGAAGGAGAUAUCUCACAGGAGAGUGAGAGUGAAACUCUAGAUUUCUCAUCAUUUGUUCCUAGCCAUUUUGCUGCCUUGCAGUGCAAAAUCUUGGGAUUGACAACGUCAUCAUGUACACAUCGGAUGAUGUGCUAAGGAAGAAAGCUUUUGAUGUACUGGAAAGGGUUAGUGUUUUUGACUUAAGAUCCUCUGCUCUUGCUUCACUAAACAGAUGCUGUGCUAAGGAAGAAAGCUUUUGAUGUACUGGAAAGGGUUAGUGUUUUUGACUUAGGAUCCUCUGCUCUUGCUUCACUAAACAGCUCGUCACUCUUGUAGUCCGUUUCUCUCUUGUUUAAGUUGUGCAAUUAUUUCCCAGUCUCCAGAUGCUUGCUGAUAUUGCAAUUUCUCAAAGGUUUGAUGUCUUAAAAGCCCUGAUUACAAAUUGCAUCUCUUCCUUUAUGGUAACUCCAUGGGGAAGUACGUGGAAUUGCUGGAUCUAGGGGUGAGGAUGGCUGCAAGGUUCCACUCUAACUGCCCACAAACCGCACGUUUGUAUUACCAUCCUCCCUCCAACCAUGACGACGAUGACGACAACCACCACCACCACCACCACCACCACUCCUUGAGCGGCAGCACAGGCAAUGGCCCUCGUCCGGACCACAGGCUCAGAAUCGACUCUAUUGAACUCAUGCUUUUCUGUUGUGUGAGGAAGAGUUUAGAUUUCUCUAUUUGGGAUGUGUUUUGAGCGUUUAUAGGGAAGACAUCCAGCCAAAAAAUUGAGCUGUUUCCUGUCUUCUCGCAUAUUUUUUCAAACACGAAUUGUGUCUCCAUUGUCAAUUUUGUCCCUAGACAUCAAGCCAAAAAAUCAAGUUGUUUCUUGUCUUUUCACAUAUU
Eucalyptus grandis is the source of this 3399-nucleotide RNA transcript. RefSeq lists it as uncharacterized. NCBI's taxonomy places the organism in Eukaryota, Viridiplantae, Streptophyta, Magnoliopsida, Myrtales, Myrtaceae. The record is from RefSeq and is a predicted model, not a curated record. The transcript is spliced from 5 exons.